This 372-nucleotide ribosomal RNA is filed under the name uncultured organism. RNAcentral describes it as "bacterial SSU rRNA". It matches the Rfam family "Bacterial small subunit ribosomal RNA", at positions 526 to 896 of the family's 1533-position model. The record is from RNAcentral.
CGGGGGGGGCUAGCGUUGUUCGGAAUUACUGGGCGUAAAGGGCUCGUAGGUGGCCAACUAAGUCAUGCGUGAAAUCCCUCGGCUUAACCGGGGAACUGCGUCUGAUACUGGAUGGCUUGAAUCCGGGAGAGGGAUGCGGAAUUCCAGGUGUAGCGGUGAAAUGCGUAGAUAUCUGGAGGAACACCGGUGGCGAAGGCGGCAUCCUGGACCGGCAUUGACACUGAGGAGCGAAAGCCAGGGGAGCAAACGGGAUUAGAUACCCCGGUAGUCCUGGCCCUAAACGAUGAAUGCUUGGUGUGACGGGUAUCGAUCCCUGUCGUGCCGAAGCUAACGCAUUAAGCAUUCCGCCUGGGGAGUACGGUCGCAAGGCUG